AACGAACGCUGGCGGCAUGCCUAACACAUGCAAGUCGAACGAGACCUUCGGGUCUAGUGGCGCACGGGUGCGUAACGCGUGGGAACCUGCCCUUAGGUUCGGAAUAACUCCCCGAAAGGGGUGCUAAUACCGGAUAAUGUCUUCGGACCAAAGAUUUAUCGCCUUUGGAUGGGCCCGCGUUGGAUUAGCUGGUUGGUAGGGUAAAAGCCUACCAAGGCGACGAUCCAUAGCUGGUCUGAGAGGAUGAUCAGCCACACUGGGACUGAGACCCGGCCCAGACUCCUCGGGAAGGAAGCAGUGGGGAAUAUUGGACAAUGGGCGAAAGCCUGCUCCAGCAAUGCCGCGUGAGUGAUGAAGGCCUUAGGGUUGUAAAGCUCUUUUACCCGGGAUGAUAAUGACAGUACCGGGAGAAUAAGCUCCGGCUAACUCCGU
This 432-nucleotide ribosomal RNA is filed under the name uncultured bacterium. Its description in RNAcentral is "partial 16S ribosomal RNA". It matches the Rfam family "Bacterial small subunit ribosomal RNA", at positions 29 to 506 of the family's 1533-position model. The record is from RNAcentral.